This 69-nucleotide transfer RNA is filed under the name Polychrus acutirostris. Its description in RNAcentral is "tRNA-Met". It matches the Rfam family "tRNA". From Rfam's summary of the family: Transfer RNA (tRNA) molecules are approximately 80 nucleotides in length. Lineage: Eukaryota; Metazoa; Chordata; Lepidosauria; Squamata; Polychrotidae. The record is from RNAcentral.
AGCAAAGUCAGCUAACUAAGCUAUCGGGCCCAUACCCCGAAAAUGUCGGUUCACACCCAACCUAUGCUA